Unclassified non-coding RNA from Macaca mulatta (Rhesus monkey), 300 nucleotides. It matches the Rfam family "Metazoan signal recognition particle RNA". From Rfam's summary of the family: The signal recognition particle (SRP) is a universally conserved ribonucleoprotein. It is involved in the co-translational targeting of proteins to membranes. The eukaryotic SRP consists of a 300-nucleotide 7S RNA and six proteins: SRPs 72, 68, 54, 19, 14, and 9. The record is from Ensembl. Lineage: Eukaryota; Metazoa; Chordata; Mammalia; Primates; Cercopithecidae.
GCCGGGCGCGGUGGCGCGUGCCUGUAGUCCCAGCUACUCGGGAGGCUGAGGCUUGAGGAUCCCUUGAGUUCAGGAGUUCUGGGCUGUAGUGCGCUAUGCCGAUCGGGUGUCCGCACUAAGUUCGGCAUCAAUAUGGUGACCUCCCGGGAGCGGGGGACCACCAGGUUGCCUAAGGAGGGGUGAACCGGCCCAGGUCGGAAACGGAGCAGGUCAAAACUCCCGUGCUGAUCAGUAGUGGGAUCGCGCCUGUGAAUAGCCACUGCACUCCAGCCUGGGCAACAUAGUGAGACCCUGCCUCUU